AUGUCUAGCUUGGACUGCCCACAAGUGCAGUUUUCAAAAAUGCUUCUGGCCUCUUUUCCCCAUAUUCUCACACUGGGGUUCAGAUAUCUGGCUCUUUUCCUCAAAACUGGCCUAUCCAGCCAGUCGUCCUGUGAGACUUCGGGCCCCAGAGUCCAUCAACUCCUACUGGAAGUUUUCUUGUGGUCCUUCGGAUCAGACUUUCUUGUAUUUCUUUGAUGUCAACAAAUAUUGGUUGAGCAUCUGUUAUGGGUUAGGGAUGGAGCUACAGGUAAGGGCUGGUUCAAAAACGAGACACACUGCUUGUCUUUCAGGAGCUCACAGUCCAGGGGAAGGGACAGCCUGGGAAUCAGGGAACCAGGCAACCACCAUAUAUAUACAAAGGGAUGGCUCUAAGGUGCUCUCUUCUGUGUCAGAUGAGGACUCCCUUCACAUUUGGCUGUCAUCUAUCAGCCACAACCGUCCUGUCCCAAAGAGCUGGCUUUGGCUUUAAAGCCUGCUUCCUGGCUGGGCUUCUCCACCACUCCAUUAAGGAUACCGUUUGAGAUCACAUGUGCUACAGGUGCUGUUGAUGGAAGUGCUAAAGGAGCUGGACGGGACUGACGUCUUUGGGAAGGCUGAACGAGGGCCAUGCUUGGGACAACACCAGCAGAGCCUUCCAGCAGACAGGCCAGGGAGGAAGCCAGGGUCAGCGAGUGAAGAGGAGAGCAGCGCCAUUUAAAGCAACACGAUUUAUCCCCAAAGGAAUCACAUGUCUGAUGCAGUGGAAGGACAGUGCCCUAAAAGAAAGGGUGGCAUGCUGGACAGCCAAAAGAACAAACGUCCACUACACGUAAUGUGAGCACCAGGUUUGGAUGUGAUCCAUCUCUGUACAAGACUGGCGGCAAUUCACGUCGAAUGGAUAAACAGAGGAUAAAGGCCUUGUUCAGUGUCACACACUUCUGUCACCAACUGAGACACAAUGGAUGUCAGUCUUCUCAUUCCUUCAACAAUAAAGAGCUUUCAAGCGCUUACAGUCAACAAGAACUUGGAAAGAUUACACUGACUGAAAGGCAUAUACAUGGAGGACAUCCACAAAUAGGAGGAAAUUAACUUGAAGCUGAGUGUCUAACUUCACUGACUCUCAGUGGCAGAGAUAGAAGAAAAGUAAAGUUUUAGCAAGGAAGGGCUGAAAGAAAAUAAAUUAAAUAUAGCUAACUAUCGAGUACUGUUUUUAUAUAGUAAGACAAGUGAAAAAUACUCCUUUUUAGGUGCUAAUUCCUAUCUCUUAACAGAAUCAUCCAUUCAUUCAAUAAAUACUUACUGAUUGCCUUUUAUGUGCCAAGUCCUCAUUUCUGUAGUGGAAAUGUAACAAUGAGCAGAGCAGAUAAUAAAGUAAUAACAAUAAUAGCUAUUAUGGCAGGGACCAAUAAUAUAUUAAUAAUUGAUAACCGGUGAA
Neogale vison (American mink) is the source of this 1435-nucleotide long non-coding RNA. RefSeq lists it as uncharacterized. NCBI's taxonomy places the organism in Eukaryota, Metazoa, Chordata, Mammalia, Carnivora, Mustelidae. The transcript has 5 exons. The record is from RefSeq and is a predicted model, not a curated record.